RNAcentral lists this ribosomal RNA (253 nucleotides) under uncultured bacterium. Its description in RNAcentral is "partial 16S ribosomal RNA". It matches the Rfam family "Bacterial small subunit ribosomal RNA", at positions 524 to 776 of the family's 1533-position model. The record is from RNAcentral.
UACGGAGGGUGCAAGCGUUAUCCGGAUUUACUGGGUUUAAAGGGUGUGUAGGCGGACUUUUAAGUCAGCGGUGUAAUCUCCGGGCUCAACCCGGAAACUGCCAUUGAUACUAUUGGUCUUGAAUGUUGUUGAGGUGGGCGGAACGGGUCAUGUAGCGGUGAAAUGCAUAGAUAUGACCCGGAACACCGAUUGCGAAGGCAGCCCACUAAGCAACGAUUGACGCUGAGGCACGAAAGCGUGGGGAUCAAACAGG